Molecule: ribosomal RNA, 564 nt
Filed under: uncultured bacterium
Lineage: Bacteria
Description: partial 16S ribosomal RNA
Rfam family: Bacterial small subunit ribosomal RNA
Source: RNAcentral
UAGGGAAUCUUGCGCAAUGGGCGAAAGCCUGACGCAGCCAUGCCGCGUGAAUGAUGAAGGUCUUAGGAUUGUAAAAUUCUUUCACCGGGGAAGAUAAUGACGGUACCCGGAGAAGAAGCCCCGGCUAACUUCGUGCCAGCAGCCGCGGUAAUACGAAGGGGGCUAGCGUUGCUCGGAAUUACUGGGCGUAAAGGGCGCGUAGGCGGAUAUCUAAGUUGGGGGUGAAAGCCCGGGGCUCAACCUCGGAAUAGCCUUCAAUACUGGAUAUCUUGAGUUCGGGAGAGGUGAGUGGAAUGCCGAGUGUAGAGGUGAAAUUCGUAGAUAUUCGGCGGAACACCAGUGGCGAAGGCGACUCACUGGCCCGAUACUGACGCUGAGGCGCGAAAGCGUGGGGAGCAAACAGGAUUAGAUACCCUGGUAGUCCACGCCGUAAAACGAUGAGUGCUAGUUGUCGGCAUGCAUGCAUGUCGGUGACGCAGCUAACGCAUUAAGCACUCCGCCUGGGGAGUACGGUCGCAAGAUUAAAAACUCAAAUGAAUUGACGGGGGUCAUAGCUGUUUCCUG